UGGGGAAUAUUGGACAAUGGGCGAAAGCCUGAUCCAGCCAUGCCGCGUGUGUGAAGAAGGUCUUCGGAUUGUAAAGCACUUUAAGUUGGGAGGAAGGGCAUUAACCUAAUACGUUAGUGUUUUGACGUUACCGACAGAAUAAGCACCGGCUAACUCUGUGCCAGCAGCCGCGGUAAUCCAGAGGGUGCAAGCGUUAAUCGGAAUUACUGGGCGUAAAGCGCGCGUAGGUGGUUUGUUAAGUUGGAUGUGAAAUCCCCGGGCUCCACCUGGGAACUGCAUUCAAAACUGACUGACUAGAGUAUGGUAGAGGGUGGUGGAAUUUCCUGUGUAGCGGUGAAAUGCGUAGAUAUAGGAAGGAACACCAGUGGCGAAGGCGACCACCUGGACUAAUACUGACACUGAGGUGCGAAAGCGUGGGGAGCAAACA
RNAcentral lists this ribosomal RNA (427 nucleotides) under uncultured bacterium. RNAcentral describes it as "partial 16S ribosomal RNA". It matches the Rfam family "Bacterial small subunit ribosomal RNA", at positions 355 to 774 of the family's 1533-position model. The record is from RNAcentral.